Molecule: transfer RNA, 73 nt
Organism: Pseudomonas sp.
Lineage: Bacteria; Pseudomonadati; Pseudomonadota; Gammaproteobacteria; Pseudomonadales; Pseudomonadaceae
Rfam family: tRNA
About the family: Transfer RNA (tRNA) molecules are approximately 80 nucleotides in length. Their secondary structure includes four short double-helical elements and three loops (D, anti-codon, and T loops). Further hydrogen bonds mediate the characteristic L-shaped molecular structure. tRNAs have two regions of fundamental functional importance: the anti-codon, which is responsible for specific mRNA codon recognition, and the 3' end, to which the tRNAs corresponding amino acid is attached (by aminoacyl-tRNA synthetases). tRNAs cope with the degeneracy of the genetic code in two manners: having more than one tRNA (with a specific anti-codon) for a particular amino acid; and 'wobble' base-pairing, i.e. permitting non-standard base-pairing at the 3rd anti-codon position.
Source: Rfam
GGGUCGUUAGCUCAGUUGGUAGAGCAGUUGGCUUUUAACCAAUUGGUCGUAGGUUCGAGUCCUACACGACCCA